GCCUAUAACCAAAUCACCAUGAAUGCUUCCCAUCUCGUCAGAUGUCGGAUGUUAAGCAGUCUUGUGCCUGGAUAGUGCUUGGAUGGGUGACCGCCAUGCACAGCAGAUUGUCAUAGGCC
RNAcentral lists this ribosomal RNA (119 nucleotides) under Petromyzon marinus (sea lamprey). Lineage: Eukaryota; Metazoa; Chordata; Hyperoartia; Petromyzontiformes; Petromyzontidae. The record is from RNAcentral.